UAGCAAUACUGAAUGGCUUUGUUUCCCAUACUUGUGAUGGGUUCUGGGAGAAAGGCAUCCUCGAGCCAUGAAGACUGCAAAACAAGCAAGAUCAUUGAGUCAUGAGCUAUCUUUGUGCUGCAAGUAGGCCUCUCCACCUCACUACACUACGCAUAUGGAAAGACUUCAUCCACUUUAGAUGAGACAACCCGUCAAAGAUGAAAUAAAAACCAAAGAGACCUCAGCACUUUUCAUUGCUUACCAUACAACUUGGAGGAUCAAGGUUAGACUUUCAACUUAUUUCAAACAUUGCCAUUUUUUCUUUGAUAUGUAUGAGUGCAUGAAACCACUA
Cucurbita pepo subsp. pepo (vegetable marrow) is the source of this 331-nucleotide long non-coding RNA. RefSeq lists it as uncharacterized. The record is from RefSeq and is a predicted model, not a curated record. NCBI's taxonomy places the organism in Eukaryota, Viridiplantae, Streptophyta, Magnoliopsida, Cucurbitales, Cucurbitaceae.